GACUCUAUAGCUCAGUGACAGAGCAUCUCACUCGUAAUGAGAAGGUCCAUAAUUCAAUUCUGUGCCGGGGCUUUCA
RNAcentral lists this transfer RNA (76 nucleotides) under Fusarium equiseti. Its description in RNAcentral is "tRNA-Thr". It matches the Rfam family "tRNA". Rfam says of the family: Transfer RNA (tRNA) molecules are approximately 80 nucleotides in length. Their secondary structure includes four short double-helical elements and three loops (D, anti-codon, and T loops). The record is from RNAcentral. Lineage: Eukaryota; Fungi; Ascomycota; Sordariomycetes; Hypocreales; Nectriaceae.